CAAUAGCGUAUAUUUAAGUUGCUGCAGUUAAAAAGCUCGUAGUUGGAUUUCGGGUGGGAAUGGCCGGUCCGCCGUUUCGGUGUGCACUUGCUACGCCCACCUUGCUGCCGGGGACGUGCUCUUGAGUUCACGCUCGGGACACGGAGUCGGCGAGGUUACUUUGAGUAAAUUAGAGUGUUCAAAGCAGGCCUACGCUCUGAAUACAUUAGCAUGGAAUAACACGAUAGGACUCUGGCCUAUCUUGUUGGUCUGUAGGACCGGAGUAAUGAUUAAGAGGGACAGUCGGGGGCAUUCGUAUUUCAUUGUCAGAGGUGAAAUUCUUGGAUUUAUUAAAGACUAACUUAUGCGAAAGCAUUUGCCAAGGAUGUUUUCAUUAA
RNAcentral lists this ribosomal RNA (377 nucleotides) under uncultured eukaryote. Its description in RNAcentral is "partial 18S ribosomal RNA". It matches the Rfam family "Eukaryotic small subunit ribosomal RNA", at positions 592 to 976 of the family's 1831-position model. The record is from RNAcentral.